This 253-nucleotide ribosomal RNA is filed under the name uncultured bacterium. Its description in RNAcentral is "partial 16S ribosomal RNA". It matches the Rfam family "Bacterial small subunit ribosomal RNA", at positions 524 to 776 of the family's 1533-position model. The record is from RNAcentral.
UACGUAGGGUGCGAGCGUUAAUCGGAAUUACUGGGCGUAAAGCGUGCGCAGGCGGUUGUACAAGACAGGUGUGAAAUCCCCGGGCUUAACCUGGGAACUGCAUUUGUGACUGCAUAGCUAGAGCACGGCAGAGGGGGAUGGAAUUCCGCGUGUAGCAGUGAAAUGCGUAGAUAUGCGGAGGAACACCGAUGGCGAAGGCAAUCCCCUGGGCCUGUACUGACGGUCAUGCACGAAAGCGUGGGGAGCAAACAGG